This 253-nucleotide ribosomal RNA is filed under the name uncultured bacterium. RNAcentral describes it as "partial 16S ribosomal RNA". It matches the Rfam family "Bacterial small subunit ribosomal RNA", at positions 524 to 776 of the family's 1533-position model. The record is from RNAcentral.
UACGUAGGUGGCAAGCGUUGUCCGGAAUCAUUGGGCGUAAAGAGCGCGUAGGUGGCUUGUCAGGUCUGAUGUGAAAUCCCGGGGCUCAACCCCGGGCGUGCAUCGGAAACCGGCUUGCUAGAGUCUGGGAGAGGAGAGUGGAAUUCCUGGUGUAGCGGUGAAAUGCGUAGAUAUCAGGAGGAACACCGGUAGCGAAGGCGGCUCUCUGGAACAGUACUGACACUGAGGCGCGAAAGCUAGGGGAGCAAACAGG